RNAcentral lists this ribosomal RNA (468 nucleotides) under uncultured bacterium. RNAcentral's name for it is "partial 16S ribosomal RNA". It matches the Rfam family "Bacterial small subunit ribosomal RNA", at positions 28 to 507 of the family's 1533-position model. The record is from RNAcentral.
GACGAACGCUGGCGGCGUGCUUAACACAUGCAAGUCGAACGGAAAGGCCCUGCUUUUGUGGGGUGCCCGAGUGGCGAACGGGUGAGUAACACGUGAGUAACCUGCCCUUGACUUUGGGAUAACUUCAGGAAACUGGGGCUAAUACCGGAUAGGAGCUCCUGCUGCAUGGUGGGGGUUGGAAAGUUUCGGCGGUUGGGGAUGGACUCGCGGCUUAUCAGCUUGUUGGUGGGGUAGUGGCUUACCAAGGCUUUGACGGGUAGCCGGCCUGAGAGGGUGACCGGCCACAUUGGGACUGAGAUACGGCCCAGACUCCUACGGGAGGCAGCAGUGGGGAAUAUUGCACAAUAGGCGGAAGCCUGAUGCAGCAACGCCGCGUGCGGGAUGACGGCCUUCGGGUUGUAAACCGCUUUCGCCUGUGACGAAGCGUGAGUGACGGUAAUGGGUAAAGAAGCACCGGCUAACUACGUG